AUCACCUAGGGGUCUUGUGAAAAUGCAGAUUCUGAUUCAGUGGGCCUGGGCAGGGCUUGGGAGUCUGCAUUUCUCACAAGCUCCCAGGUCAAGCUGA
This 97-nucleotide microRNA precursor is filed under the name Callithrix jacchus (white-tufted-ear marmoset). RNAcentral describes it as "mir-544 microRNA precursor family". It matches the Rfam family "mir-544 microRNA precursor family". Lineage: Eukaryota; Metazoa; Chordata; Mammalia; Primates; Cebidae. The record is from Rfam by way of RNAcentral.